GCGGGGGAGAGGGAGAUCCCAACAGCUACCCAGAAAUAAAGCUUGCUUCGCUGAGGUCUCCUGGUCAUUCUUGCUGGUGAGAGCGACAAGGAAAGCCAUGAA
Long non-coding RNA from Mustela erminea (ermine), 102 nucleotides. RefSeq lists it as uncharacterized. The record is from RefSeq and is a predicted model, not a curated record. Lineage: Eukaryota; Metazoa; Chordata; Mammalia; Carnivora; Mustelidae. The transcript has 3 exons.